CAAAUGGAAAUGCAUGAUGCUUCCUAAGGCCUAGGCUCAGACCUGGCAACUGUCAAUUCCACUUUCCUCAUCUUAUAAAAUUCUGGUUCUCAAUGACACCAGCAUCAUUACUGAUUUGCUUUCUACUCACACACAAAUAGCCUCCAAAUAAGAAUGCCAACACUAUCACCAAAAAGGAAAAAUUAUCUUCGUUUCCCCAAGGCCUGCAGCUUUCAUAAGAAGGCAGGAGUUUUUGGAGGAGAGCGUCGUGUUCGUCUGUCUGUAGACCCUGAGACACUGAUUUACAGCAAGACUCACGGUGACAAGAAUAUAAACAUCUCUUCAAUUCAUUUGAUGAGGAAGAAAAGCUUUGAUAAAGAAACUUGACAAGAACUUUACAAGGAAGAAAAAUUACCAACAAUUUCUCCUAUCAAUGUAGAUGAAAAAUUCUAAACAAAAUGUGAGCAAAUUGAAUUCCAUUUUAUGUAAAUAGGAUAAUACAUUAUGAUGAAAUCAAGUUUAUUUAACAAUGCAAGACUGGUUUGCUAUUCAAAAAUCAAUGAAAUAUGAAUACAUAUGUAGAGCAACUAAAUGUUAAGAAACUCCGGUUUCCAGUCCAACAUGUGAAGAGCUUGGAAAUCUUCAUAUUAAAAAAAAAACUGAACAA
RNAcentral lists this long non-coding RNA (646 nucleotides) under Homo sapiens (human). RNAcentral's name for it is "non-protein coding LINC01173:7". The record is from RNAcentral. Lineage: Eukaryota; Metazoa; Chordata; Mammalia; Primates; Hominidae.